Molecule: microRNA precursor, 99 nt
Filed under: Mus pahari (shrew mouse)
Lineage: Eukaryota; Metazoa; Chordata; Mammalia; Rodentia; Muridae
Description: miRNA (MGP_PahariEiJ_G0007214.1)
Source: RNAcentral
ACAGGUGACCAGGAGGCGAAGGAGCCAAUGCUUCAGACCUCUGACUAGGGGGAGGUGUCCAGGAGGGAGAGGCUUCUGGGGCCUUAGCUCCUAGUCCUG